This 3197-nucleotide long non-coding RNA is filed under the name Brassica napus (rape). RNAcentral's name for it is "long non-coding RNA (BNAP_LNC023725)". The record is from RNAcentral. Lineage: Eukaryota; Viridiplantae; Streptophyta; Magnoliopsida; Brassicales; Brassicaceae.
AAAGACAAACAAACUCAACUGUAGCCUUUUGUUUUUCUCCUAGAAAGAAUGUAAAAGAACAAAACCAAAACCUUUUCUAUAACAAAGAAUCAACAGAGCCAAAUCCACUGAACUACCUAUAAAUGGUGUAUGAGUAUUUUUUUAAAUCUGAGCAAUGAAAAGUUCAUUCCAAGUAUCUGGGACCCCAGGUAAGCACCAAUGCAAACAAUCAUUAACCACUGGAGCCGUGGCUGUCACGUUACUCUUCACUUUUUUAGGUUUUCUAGGUUUGAGUUUAGACCCUGAGAUAUGAGCUUCAUCUCUCAGCUCAGAAAGCGCAGUUAUGUCAAGAAUCUUGAUCCUCGUCCCAUUCACAGCACUCUCCACCGUUGCAUCAACCGACCCAUCAUCACCAUUGAUUUCACUUCCUCUAGACAGAGGGACAGUAUUGUUACAGUUCCCACCUGUGUUCCAAUCUCCGUUCCUAAAAUGCCUCGGAGAUAUCGUCCUAAAGAAAGCUCUCAACCGCGGAUGCAACGGAAGCUGCGCGUCUAGCCACUUCGCAACGCUGCGUAUUGUAAAAACCUUAGCGUGACUUAUAUCUUUAAGAAACUCGCCUUCUACCUUUGUGCCGUUCACGUGCAUCACCCAGUGAUUGCCUUCGAUCUUGCCCCUGUUCCAGUGGUGGCCCGUGUUAAGAACCAACACAUCGAAACGGUGAAGGUACUUCCUCAUAAACGCUGGUGGACGGUCCAGAUGCAUUGCGGUGAGACGAGGUGAGUCAGUGUUCUUCAUGGGGACCAAAUCUGAUAAACUAGCUGACCAAUAAUACAAGAUGGUUGUGUUUGUGGUGGGUCUUGCGUUUACUGUAUAAAUUUGAAAAUUUUGGGUACUCUACGUCAAUAUUUCACUUGGCUAUGUCCGAACCGGCUCUGCCCAGCACUUAGAUAACAACAUAGUACUAAACUCCUCUGCUUGUUUUAGAUUUGUAAGAGGAGAGCAAUACGCUGUGGGAUUAGCCUUGCUUGUGGAAGGCAAAGUGGUGGUCGGCGUUAUGGCUUGUCCUAAUCUUCAUUUGUCUUCUGCGGUUGUUGAGAAAGACGACAAGUCUUGCCAGGAUAAUGUUGGAUGUCUUUUCUUUGCUACAACUGGUUCAGGAGCUUAUGUGCAACCGCUCAAUGGCAAUUCUCCACCACAGGAGGUAUCUAUCUUUUAUCUUAUCCAAAGCUAAACUGUUGAUAUGUCGGGUAUGAGAGUGAAAGAACUGUGUUGACAGGUGAGAGUGAGUAGCAAUGAGAAUCUUGAAGAAGCAAAGUUCUUAGAAUCAUACCAUAUGCCAAUUCCCCUCCAUAGUUCCAUUGCUACGGUAAGAUAUUGCUUAGUGUAUUACAGUGUGCUCUCAUGUUGCCAUAACCCGGCUCAAUAAUUUCAUGGACCUUAGGACAAAAAGAUUUAAACCUUUAAAUUUAAUAUUUAUUUAGAAUCAGUAAUAAAUAUUAUAAAUAAUUUUUUAUAAAAUGUAUAUUGAAAAAUACGUUUAUAAAAUAUUUUGGGACUCUUUUUUUUAAAUUUGUUGCAAUAAAAUACAUAUAUAUUUUCUUUAAAAAAUUAGGAUAAAUAACUAUUAAAAUUGAAGGAUCGGGAACGAUCGUACUGCUUGUCCCCAUCUAAGCCGGAACUGGCAUAACCAAGUGGGAUUCUUACGGUUUUACGCAGAAACUUGGGAUCACAGCGUUACCUGUAAGAAUCGAUAGCCAAGCAAAGUAUGCAGCUGUGUCCAGAGGAGAUGCAGAGAUGUACUUGCGCUUCACUCUUGUUGGAUACCGUGAGUGGAUAUGGGACCAUGCAGCUGGUUCAAUCAUCACAACAGGUUUAUAAUUAUAUAAAUAUAUAGUACAUAAACACUGAGAACUGUUGGCUCUAAAUGCACGUCCAUUGCAGAAGCUGGAGGCGUCGUUUGCGAUGCUGAAGGGACACCUCUGGACUUCUCAAAAGGAAAGCGUCUUGAUCACAACAGAGGGAUCAUAGUUACCACCAAGAAACUCAAGCCAUUGAUUUUGAAAGCUGUUAGAGAAUCCAUGGAAGAGGAGAAUCUUCGUGUCUGAGACUGAGACACAACUGAGAAUCUACUGUAUUUGUAUGUGUAUUUGUCUGAACUGGUAACUGGUUUGUGUCAGUGUGUGUAUUAUUGCCUAGUUCGUUGUAUUGUCUACGUCAGAUAUGUAAUAUAUUUGUGCUUGCAGGAAACUAUACGUUAAGAUUCGACUUUUUUAUUCCUUUGAGAAAAUGAUUGAUGAUCACUUUUGUCUUCUUGCGAAUAUUACUAGAAGAUGAUGGUGACGACGUUAGUAAACUCACGUUCUGCCAUUACGUGAAAGACGGUCUUCGCCAACCCCGUCUCACACGAAAACUCUGUUAACCGUACUGGUUCCGGUUCAAUAAAGAAGAAGAUUGUUUCGAUGUUUCUUGUACAACCCAGUUGUAACCAGGGCCGGCAUAAAAAACUAAAACUUAACUAAAGAACGAAACCGAAAAAACGAAGUAAAACCAAACUGAAGUUCACAAAUAACCAAACAGUUCUUAUAUUUAUAGUACAGAAAAACCGAAACCAAACCACAUUAUAUACUUAAAAUAGUAAAUAAAUUUAGUUUAAAAUUAAAUAUAUUUAAACACCUAAAAAUAUUAAAUAUAUUUAAUUUUAAAAUUACUAAAUAUUUAAAAUACUACUUAUGAAAUGAAAUAACUAGCAAUCUUUUUCCAAAAUAUUAAAACUAUAUGAAUUAUCCAAAAAAAAAACCGAAUUAUCGAAAUAGUUUAUUCAAAAUAUUUAUAUUUAUCCAAAUUACUUGAUAUUUAAUCCGAAAAAAUUGAAAACCUGAUUUUUAUCCGAAUUAUCUGAAAUUACCCAAAAAAACCGAAAACAAAUUAUAACCAAAAAUGUAUCCAAUAUUAGCCGGUUAUCGGAACUGAACCAAAAACCUAACCUGAACCGAAUCCGUUAAAUUGUGUAAUCAUAGGAAUCAACAAUCUGUAGCCUUUGUUUCUCUCCGAGAAAGAAUGUAAAAGACAAAACCAGAACCUUUUCUAUAACAAAGAAUCAACAGAGCCAAUCAUUCACUGAACUACGUAUAAAUGGUUUUUGAGUAUUUUUUUUUAAUCUGAGCAAUGAAAAGUUCGUUCCAAGUAUCUGGAAUCCCAGGUAAGCACCAAUGCAAACA